This 591-nucleotide long non-coding RNA is filed under the name Marmota monax (woodchuck). Lineage: Eukaryota; Metazoa; Chordata; Mammalia; Rodentia; Sciuridae. The record is from RNAcentral.
CGGUGCCUUCCUAUGGAGGCCAAUGACAAACUGUAGCUCACUGUUGUCUUCCUUCCUUCUUUCUUUUGACCUGACCUUUCCUUCUAGACCCAUGUGAGAGACCAAGGCACAGUACCUGGGAGUGGCAGCCACUGAGAUCUUCCCAGACCCGGCUUGGACCCAUCAAAGGAAAUCUGCACCUCCUUUCACCUCCUUUCACCUUCCUCUUAGCUGGUGGCUUUGUUUUGGCCCCUAAUAUGCUUUGUUCUGCUCUCCCUGGAGAUUUGUUCAUCUCUGAAUUUAUCCAAAAACAGUAGCAUGCAAGAGUUCCUUUGCACCACCUCUUGUUGGGGAACCAAAAUCAUUGCUGAACAGAGUGCUUACCAUUCCCAGUGCUUACCAUUGCAGAGUGCUUACCAUUUCCUGGGGUAAAUAGGAACUUGUUAACUGAAUACCCAUAUCCAGAAGGUCCUCUUUCUGAAAGUAGUGAGUUCCUGUCCCAUUUGUCAGCCUGGGGAGUGGACACGUCCCUGCCCUCCCUGAUAGGUGUGAUUUUCUACCCCGACCCAUUUCCAAGAGAUCCGAGGAAGGGGCUUCCCUCAAAGUGUCUGC